RNAcentral lists this long non-coding RNA (1164 nucleotides) under Homo sapiens (human). RNAcentral describes it as "HSALNT0389120". Lineage: Eukaryota; Metazoa; Chordata; Mammalia; Primates; Hominidae. The record is from RNAcentral.
UUCGCAUUCGUGAAGCAGUCUUGGGCGCCGGGUUGUCAGUGCUGUCAGCCUACCUAAGCAGAGGAAAAUGGUGCAGGCAGAGCGCACCUGGUCUCGGGAAAAUGCUGCCCGCGACAACCCACUGCGGGACCCUAAAUGUCUCGACAAUAAGGCCUCCUCGGCACGUCUCUGAGGUCGGGUCCCGCUGGAGGAGGAGGCGUUUCGAAACUGUGAGGUGGGUGCUGGAAAUUGCUCUUCUGACUCUGUUCCAGAAAGAGGCUGUGUGCAAGAAUCCGGUCGCAUGGGAAUGAAAAUACAGUCCGGUUGGAACCACUCUUUUGGUACCAUCUUCAAAGAGACAUUUCAGAUCCCAUUGAGGCGUACAGAGGAAAACCAAAUAUCCUGCAAUUAAAAACUAGAAACAAGCUAUUUGUGAAAAUGCUUUGUGAUGUGUUCAUUCAUUUUACAAAGUUAAACCUUUGUUUUGAUUCAGCAUGUUGGAAACACUGUUUUGUAGAAUCUACAAUGUGACAUUUCUAAGCCCAUUGAGGCCUAUACUGAAAAAUCAAAGAUCCCGUGAUAAAAACAGAAAUAAGCUAUCUGUGAAUAUGCUUUGCAAUGUGAGGAUUCAUCUCACAGAGUUAAACCUUUGUAUUGCACAGCAGUCUGGAAACUCUCUUUUUGUAAAAAAUCUAUGAAGAAACAUUUUGGAGACCAUUGAGGCCUAUAGUGAAAUGUUGAAUAUCCUGUGAUUAGAACUAGAAACAAGCUAUCCAUAAAAAUGUUUUGUGAUGUUUGAAUUCAUUUUACAGAGUUAACCCUUUGUUUGAAUUCUGCAUGUUGGAAACACUCUUUUUGUAGAAUCUACAAAAGGACAUUUCAGAGCUUAUUGAGGCCUAUAGUGAAAAACAUAAUAUUCCAUGAUAAAAACUAGAAACAAGCUCCUUGGGAAAAUCCUUUGUAAUGUGUGGAUUCAUCACACAGAGUUAAACCUUUGUUUUGAUUCAUCAGGUUAGAAACACUACUUUCUUAGGAUCUACAAAGGAACAUUUCAAAGCCAAUUGAGUUACAUAAUGAAAAACUAAAUAUUCCACAAUAAAAAAUAGAAACAAGCUAUCUGUGAUGAUUUGUGAUCUGUGGACUCAUCUCAGUGUUAAACCAUUUUUUUGAUUCAGCAGGUUGGAA